GUAACAAAUGGGUAACAGAUAAUCUUGUUACUGCUUGUUCUUGCUAACAUGCUUAUAUGUUAUAUGUAACAAACUGAUAACGAAAAUAAUAACACUGACAGAUAUUCGGGUAACAAAUACUUUUUGUUAUCCAUAACACACAGGUAAGCUGUGCGCUAACAAAAGAAUUUAUUACCCGUAACAUACUGUGAAGAGAUUUGCUAACAAAUGCAUGUAUUCUGUUAGAACAAGGCAGCAUGCGAUAUUUGCCAUUGGUUAGAGCGAGAUAACCAUUGAACAUCAAAUAGCUAUGUGUUAUUUUUUUCCCACUCUCUGAACAAAAGUAACAAAUAUUUUAACGAAUGCAAAAGUGAACAAUAACAAUAGCUUUUUGAAUAUUUGUUACCCGAAUAUCUGUUAGUGUUAUUAUUUUCGUUAUCAGUUUGUUACCUAUAACAUAUAAGCAUUUUAGCAAGAACAAGCAGUAACAAGAUUAUCUGUUACCCAUUUGUUACUUCUAGCAAAUUCAAUUACACUCAGUCCUUUUUUUACGCGAUCUCUUUUUACGCUAUUUCACUUUAACGCGGUUAUUUUUGCAGCGCAAAUUCCUUUUUUUACGCGAAUUUCUCACUUUAACGCGAUUGUUUUUUUUCGUUUUUUGCUUGGUCUUAAACUUGCAGCACAAUUGGAAAAUUAUUUUGUAGCAAAUGAUACUGAUGCCGAACGUGCACGAAUUUUUCAAAAAGAAUUACGUCUCUGCAUGUUAAGAUAUAAAGAACUACAACGGAAUUUAUUGGGUCCAAAAAGAAGCAUUCAAACAAAAUUAACUGAAUUUAUGGUGCAAACUUAGUCGGAGAUGCUAAGUCAAUUAGAACAUCAAUCCAUAGUUCUUACUAUUGAUUCUGAUACAAAUUCUAGUGAUAUCAGUGCCGGCCAUCAAAAAAAGCGACUAAGAAUAAUUUCCACUACGGAUAAUGACAGUGAUUAACCAGCAUUCAACGGUUUUUUCAAUAAAUCUACCUAUUUUCUAUUUUCUUCUCUUUUAUAUAUGGUUUUUGUUUUGUAUUUUUUAUUUUGUUGAAUGAAUAAAUCAUAAAUCUGAAAUUUGAACCUUAUUGUAUUGUUUUUGAAAUUUUUUUUUUGCGCGUAUAAUUUGUUAUACGCGAUAUUUUUUAUAUUCGGAACCAAUUCGUCAGUUAAUCAGCCCUAUUCUGCAUUUCUACUCGAAUCGAAAUUUUCUCCGAUUGGCAACUUUGGUAUUCUGCGUUUCGAUUCAACUUCGAAAAUUCCAAUUCUAUGUAUUCUGCAUUGCGAUCGUAAUUACGUUUUUGUACGUUGAAGUUUUGUUGGCGGAAAGCCGUUAUAUAUUCAUUUUCGUGCAUUUGGAUAAAAUAAUUUCCUCAAAUAUGUCAAAAGUAACAACGGCAGAGCAAUACGAAAAAUUGUGUGAUAUGAUGGCCACGAAAAGAGAUAUUGCGCACGGCUUCCAAAAGCGACCGAAGGAAGAAGUACAGGAGUUUUAAUAGGAGGUUGCAAGGAAUUUAAAUGCACUUGGCUCACCAACAAAAGAUUCCAAUACAUGGAGAAAGGUGAUAGCUUUGACGGGUUUGGAAACGGAUGAUAUCCCUUCAACCAGUAGAGCUAGCAGCCAAAAUAGAGAGGCGAGGGCAGACAAGCAGAGCACUUCUUCAUUACUUAAGCAACAGAUACAAAUCAAAAAGAAUUUUAUGCAGAGACGAAAAAAUUCAAUGAAGCUGCCUUUGGUAAAAUGGAAGAAGUUACUUCAUAUUUACGACACAUGAAUCGUUCUCUAGAAACUUUGGCGGAGACUGCAGUGAAGCAACCUGAAGAACAGAAGCGACACAAUAGAAUUAAGGAAGAGCUGGUGAAGGAAAAAGUAGAAAUAAAAAUGCAAAUGCUAAGAUUAGGUCCAAAUUAUAAGCCGGAUUCAAA
Bactrocera neohumeralis is the source of this 1932-nucleotide long non-coding RNA. RefSeq lists it as uncharacterized. The record is from RefSeq and is a predicted model, not a curated record. The transcript is spliced from 3 exons. Lineage: Eukaryota; Metazoa; Arthropoda; Insecta; Diptera; Tephritidae.